Sapajus apella (tufted capuchin) is the source of this 737-nucleotide RNA transcript. It is a transcript of the gene named peroxiredoxin-1 pseudogene, with no coding region annotated. The transcript has a single exon. The record is from RefSeq and is a predicted model, not a curated record. NCBI's taxonomy places the organism in Eukaryota, Metazoa, Chordata, Mammalia, Primates, Cebidae.
AAACCAGAGUAUCCAACAAGCUGAUAGGAAGAUGUCUUCAGGAAAUGCUAAAAUUGGGCACCCUGCCCCCAACUUCAAAGCCACAGCUGUUAUGCCAGAUGGUCAGUUUAAAGAUACCAGCCUGUUUGACUACAAAGGAAAAUAUGUUGUGUUCUUCUUUUACCCUCUUUGACUUCACCUUUGUGUGCCCCACGGAGAUCAUUGCUUUCAGUGAUAGGGCAGAAGAAUUUAAGAAACUCAACUGCCAGGUGAUUGGUACUUCUGUGGAUUCUCUCUUCUGUCACCUGGCAUGGAUCAACACACCUAAGAAACAAGGAGGACUGGGACCCAUGAACAUUCCUUUGAUAUCAGACCCAAAGCGCACCAUUGCUCAGGAUUAUGGGGUCUUAAAGACUGAUGAAGGCAUCUCAUUCAGGGGCCUCUUUAUCAUUGAUGAUAAGGGUAUUCUUCGGCAGAUCACUGUAAGUGACCUCCCUGUUGGCCGCUCUGUGGAUGAGACUUUGGGACUAGUUCAGGCCUUCCAGUUCACUGACAAACAUGGGGAAGUGUGCCCAGCUGGCUGGAAACCUGGCAGUGAUACCAUCAAGCCUGAUGUCCAAAAGAUCAAAGAAUAUUUCUCCAAACAGAAGUGAGCGGGCUGUUUAUACCAGGCUUGCAGUGGGCAGCCAUGAGAACAAAACCUCUUUUGUAUUUUUUUCCCCCAUGAGUAAAACACAAGACUUCAAAAAAAAAAAAAA